Molecule: long non-coding RNA, 670 nt
Filed under: Salvia miltiorrhiza (redroot sage)
Lineage: Eukaryota; Viridiplantae; Streptophyta; Magnoliopsida; Lamiales; Lamiaceae
Description: long non-coding RNA (SMIL_LNC008427)
Source: RNAcentral
GUUUUCAGCAGGAACAAGCGGUUUCCAAUUCUUCGACUGGUAUUACUCAAAGAAAGAAUCUGCUUUUCAGUCGUGCGAUGGCAACUCAGUCAACCCCGCCUCAAUCCAUCCAUGAUUUCACUGUGAAGGUAUUCAAUUUCAUUGGUUUCAGAUUGAUGUGCUCAAGUCUCAACAUUCUCCGUUUAUUAGGGAAAUUGCUUUGUUUCUGAAUUUGUUGCUGAUGGANGAGGAUCGCCCAAAGACGGCGAUCUAAAUGCUAGUUUUCUUCUAGAAUGAUCCUCGCCGUCUAAUUCAUCCUCGCGAAAUCGGACACGGCUCUGAAACGUGGCACGUGGCGCAGUCGCCACGUGGAAACCGGCAUCUUCGUGCACGCCAUGCGCCACCGAUUUCUGCGGCAGCAAACAUAGCGUUGCAGCUGCGACGUCGCUGUCAGAUUUCAAUUACGCAAAUCUAGUUGGCCCCAUUAAUAUUAGUAUUAAAAUAUUAAUCGUCGUAAUAAACCAUGUCCCGUUGCGCAAGGCAUCUCUUCAAAUUCAAACCCGCAAACUUUUCUUCCAUUUCCAAUCGAACCCGUUUCAGCUCAUCUCUAUUCGGAAAGUAUCAUUUGCGUUUUCAGCAGGAACAAGCGGUUUCCAAUUCUUCGACUGGUAUUACUCAAAGAAAGAAUCUG